UCCUUUAAGAGGUGAUUGGGUCAUGGGGGCAGAACGCUCACGAAGGGGAUUAGUGCCCUUAUAAAAGAGGACUGAGGCCUCUCACUUGGCGCUUCUACCAUGGGAGGAUACAAGGAGGAAUCUGCGACUCAGACGAAGCCUUCACCUGAGCAUCCUGACACCCUGAUCUCAGAACUGUGAGAAGUCCCUGCCCACAUAACCAUCCACUGACUUGGAAUGCUCAAUUUGGACUGUUUCAAGAGGAAGACUGGCCCUGAGCUAACAUCCAUGCCCUUCUUCCUCUGCUUUAUAUAUGGGACGCUUACCACAGCAUGGAUUUUGCCAAGCAGUGCCAUGUCUGAACCUGAGAUCCGAACUGGCAAACUCUGGGCCGCACAGAAGCGGAACGUGCGAACUUAGCUGUACCACCGGGCCAGCCCCCCUUUCUUGUUUCUUGAUGCAGUGUUCCUUACUGGCAUAUUAGUGGGUGGAAAGCUAAAAGCCACAUUUCUAAGACUCUGUUGCAGUUAAGAUUCUGCAUAUUAUCUACAUUAAACCAAGCCAAAGCACCAGUAUUUGAUGUUCGAGGCAAAGAAAAUACCAUGAAGCAGAGAUACGACUCCUCUGGCAAGCAUGACCAUAAUCAUGUUUGGUUUUUCUGUGUGAACUGCAUCAGAAAUCUCAAGUCAGGAACCUAGUUUCAUAGCUAUGGAGUUGUGGGGCAAAGAUUGUGUUGGCCCAGUUCAUGGCAGACACAUUCCGGAGUCAACAAUAACAAUGGGAACUGGAGCAGAGGCAUGAGACUCAGGGGUACUGCUCACUGCAGAAGAAGAGACAGCUGCAUUCCAAAAAACAGAGAUAUGAAGUGAAAUUCAGCACAUGGAAUGGCUUUAAAUUUUUGAUACUGGAUCAAGGAUGGCAGCGCGUUAUAAAACAGCUGAACAAGGAAGCAAGACAUGAGAGCAGACUAGUAAAGAGAGAUAUUAAUGGGAUCACAAUGAAGCAGAGAUCACAAAAGUAAACAAAAUCCAGAGAACAUAAAAGUGGAAUUCCGAGUCUGGGGGGAGAUCUAUGUGAAUAAUCACCAGCCAGAAAUCUGCAAGACCGAAGGAUCAAGAAGAAUGGCCAAGCAAAGCAGUCUCUGGUCAAAGUCCAAAGAACUAACAGAAAUUUGCAUUGCGCUAACACUGGGAAGAGAGGGACACUGCGAUGAGCUUCCCCAUAGAAUUUAGAAGACCUCAUUUACUCUGUAUUCUCGCCCACCUCCACCUGUGGCAACCUGAGCUAAAGAGGGCUAAUAGAAUAGGAGUAAGAACCUUGGCAAAGUUAUUUUUUCCCUCUGACACCACAUAUAUAUGGUCGCAUAUAUGUACGUCACCACAUGACAUAUAAUUAAUUAUAUUCAUAAUUAAUAGUGAGAACUAGCAUUCACAUAGCACUUGUCAUGAUUCUGACAUCUAAACAGUGGUAGUUCUUCAUGUUUCUAGACCAGAGUUGUUGUUCUAUGUUAGAGGCAAAGACCAUGACAAUUCACUUGCUUUGUCUGGCACUGAUGGAUAAGUACUUCUGACAAUACUGUUAAACAAACUUGGUGAUUCAAAAUUCAUGUGUUCAAAUAUUUAUAAAGUAGGAGGUAGAGAUAAUAAAAAUUUAUGAAAAGGUCAAUUUUUAACUAUUAAAUUUACAAAAACUACAAAUGUUAAUGCACAGUCCUUUAUACAAGGAAUAAUUGAAGGAGAAGCAGCCUAGUAAAUUCAAUAUGCGUGGCUUACAAUAGUCAAAAAAUUUAGAAUCAUCUUAAAUGCUCAAUAGUAUCAAGACUAUUAUCAUUUUAAAUAUGUUGUAGCAACAUGAUAGAAUUUAUAUAUAGUAACUUAAGAAAAGUGCAAGAUAAAAAUGAUACACUAAAAUCACAAAUGUUAAAAUAUAUAGCCAUAAAACCUAAAGAGACUGUACAUACCUGUUGGUAAAUGAGAAUGUAUAUGAUUUUUCUCUUCUUUUAAACUUCAUGUAAUGCUAUAUAUGGUUUUAAAUAGACAUGGGAUUAAUAAAUCUUAUUUAUUAAUUUGUAUUAUUUCAGUAAUAUCUGGGAAACCUGCAAGAUAAAUAUUGUUAUCUCCACUAAAAUAGGAGGAAGAGAAGAAAGAGGAGGAGGAGGAGGAGGACGAGGAGGAGGAAAUGAUGGUUAAACUGGUCACACAAUUAUUAGGUAGACGAUUCAGAUUUGAAACGUGAUUGGUCUGCCUCGGAAACUUACCACCUUUACUUUAUGUUAUGCUUUCUCCGUGCUACCUUCACACCUUAGAGCCCCAUACAAUUUUUUCCAGGGCACAACCUUUCAUUUCUGAUGAAGAAUGGUAAGUAGAAAUAAUUCAUGAUAAUUCAGCAUUGGCUGAAUGCAAAAGCCUUCAAACCUUCCCAAGUUUCCCUCACUCACUCCCGAUACAGGCCUCAAGUUCUUCCUUGUGAAAGCAUUUCUAUUUCUUGAUAGAACUAAACGGCAUCCCCCAAAUUUAGUCUUUUUCUAUCAGUGAAAUUUUAAAAAUUGGAUGGAGAAAGUGGGUUCUCUCAAAAUCUGUAUUCUCAUACUGAAAUAUAUGUUCUUAAUUUUGAAAUAAUGUUAGAUGUAUAAGUUGCAAAAAUAGUACAGAGGUUUCUGAAUAUCUAUCAGCUUCUGCUAAGCUUAACAUCUGACAUACAAUACAUAGUAAAAUUAUCAAUACCAGGAAAUUAACAUUGAUACAAUCUUAUUAAUUAAAUUAUAGAU
Equus asinus (donkey) is the source of this 2746-nucleotide long non-coding RNA. The record is from Ensembl. NCBI's taxonomy places the organism in Eukaryota, Metazoa, Chordata, Mammalia, Perissodactyla, Equidae.